Molecule: ribosomal RNA, 436 nt
Filed under: uncultured bacterium
Lineage: Bacteria
Description: bacterial SSU rRNA
Rfam family: Bacterial small subunit ribosomal RNA
Source: RNAcentral
UACGGAAGGCAGCAGUGGGGAAUAUUGCACAAUGGGCGCAAGCCUGAUGCAGCCAUGCCGCGUGUAUGAAGAAGGCCUUCGGGUUGUAAAGUACUUUCAGUCGUGAGGAAGGUGUUAAGGUUAAUAACCUUAGCAAUUGACGUUAGCGACAGAAGAAGCACCGGCUAACUCCGUGCCAGCAGCCGCGGUAAUACGGAGGGUGCGAGCGUUAAUCGGAAUUACUGGGCGUAAAGGGCACGCAGGCGGUUAAUUAAGUUGGAUGUGAAAUCCCCGGGCUUAACCUGGGAAUGGCAUUCAAGACUGGUUAGCUAGAGUCUUGUAGAGGGGGUUAGAAUUCCAUGUGUAGCGGUGAAAUGCGUAGAGAUGUGGAGGAAUACCGGUGGCGAAGGCGGCCCCUGGACAAAGACUGACGCUCAUGUGCGAAAGCGUGGGGAGC